GAUGAACGCUGGCGGCGUGCCUAAUACAUGCAAGUCGAGCGAACGGACGAGAAGCUUGCUUCUCUGAUGUUAGCGGCGGACGGGUGAGUAACACGUGGAUAACCUACCUAUAAGACUGGGAUAACUUCGGGAAACCGUAGCUAAUACCGGAUAAUAUUUUGAACCGCAUGGUUCAAAAGUGAAAGACGGUCUUGCUGUCACUUAUAGAUGGAUCCGCGCUGCAUUAGCUAGUUGGUAAGGUAACGGCUUACCAAGGCAACGAUGCAUAGCCGACCUGAGAGGGUGAUCAGCCACACUGGAACUGAGACACGGUCCAGACUCCUACGGGAGGCAGCAGUAGGGAAUCUUCCGCAAUGGGCGAAAGCCUGACGGAGCAACGACGCGUGAGUGAUGAAGGUCUUCGGAUCGUAAAACUCUGUUAUUAGGGAAGAACAUAUGUGUAAGUAACUGUGCACAUCUUGACGGUACCUAAUCAGAAAGCCACGGCUAACUACGUG
RNAcentral lists this ribosomal RNA (497 nucleotides) under uncultured bacterium. Its description in RNAcentral is "partial 16S ribosomal RNA". It matches the Rfam family "Bacterial small subunit ribosomal RNA", at positions 28 to 507 of the family's 1533-position model. The record is from RNAcentral.